GGGGCUUACUACAAAGGUGGGGCUGAAAACAUUCCCACAUACUACAUGGGUGGGGCUUACUACAAAGGUGGGGCUGAAAACAUUCCCACUUACUACAUAGGUGGGGCUGAAAACAUUCCCACAUACUACAUAGGUGGGGCUUACUACAAAGGUGGGGCUGAAAACAUUCCCACAUACUACAUGGGUGGGGCUGAAAACAUUCCCACA
Molecule: long non-coding RNA, 207 nt
Filed under: Haliotis rubra (blacklip abalone)
Lineage: Eukaryota; Metazoa; Mollusca; Gastropoda; Lepetellida; Haliotidae
Description: uncharacterized LOC124289786, transcript variant X2
Source: RNAcentral